Molecule: long non-coding RNA, 1251 nt
Organism: Bactrocera oleae (olive fruit fly)
Lineage: Eukaryota; Metazoa; Arthropoda; Insecta; Diptera; Tephritidae
Source: RefSeq, a predicted model, not a curated record
AAAUUUAUUACUUCCAUUACAUCAUAUACCAAGAAACGGUUAACCAGAUUGUGGGAAAUAAAAAAAAGUAAAUUGUAACUGGAGUUAGAAAAGGCUGUAAGAUCGAAAUUCUUCUAAAAUUGAAAGAACAAGUUGAAAAAUAUCAUAUCGGUAGCUGAUCCUAAUCCAAAGACCACGGUAGAGAUGAGAAACCUUGAUUCCCUUAAAACAAAACAAGAAAUCAUGGAUGCAAUAGGGAGCGCCCUUGAAAAAUCAGUGCCUAAUCCUAAAAUUAACAUCUUCCCCCGAACACUAGGGAGCAGGCCAAAGCGUAGGUAAACUUUUCAAGGCCAAGCCAAAUUGGACAAUAAUUUGAGGAGAGAUUGAUUUAAAAUCUAUUCAAUGGGGGAUUAAUUCUCUGCCCAGACCUCUGGAACGUCAGUUACGACCUUAUACUAGUCUCAAAAGGCCUGACGAUACUAACCCAGUUGAAUUAAUAAGUGCACAAAUGUGGUUGGACGCGCUUGGUAUUGAUAUCCACUUUCCACUAAAUAAAACCAAGCUGGUAUUGUUAACAAAGAAACAUACUUCUAUUAUAACACACAUGGAGACAACAACAAAAAGUCUAAGAGUACAGAAGGUUGUCAAUUUUCUGGGUGUAAGAUUAGGCUCCAGCUUUCUAACUUUGGUUGGAUGGCUGAUGGUCAACUUCGCAGGGCUGACACAGGAAAAACGGGAGCUUUUGAUGUGGACCUCAUAAUAACCGAACAUUUUCUACUCUUGCAGUUUUCCAGGAUCAAAGCAGGCGAAAAACUAAAAGAUCUGUCAAUAGCAAAUUCAAAGAUUCAGGUGAUUUACGGAAGGCUUGCACGGAAUAAACAGAAUUCAAUUUAUACUGUAAUUUUGAUUAUUUUGACAUAUCUAUCUAUGCUAACUACCUCGAUUACACCACAUCAAAAAGAUGCGCUAAGUCGGCAGUCUCAACAGAAGGUAAUAACGGAUAUGGCGCAAUCCAUUUGUAUUCAUGUUAAGGCGAGGACGGGGAACAAAUAGCCCUCAACAGUGCCGAAAUUAUCGAUAAUUUGGAAUUUUCGUAAGUACGACUUACGUAUAGUCGCGACAACAUACACAAAAUCAUAAUAAUUGCAAUGAAAUAACUUGUAUAAUAAAAUUUUGAUAAGCCAUUAUAAUUAAUGUUUAUACUUCACUUCUCGAUAAUUUUUCGAAAUCCAUAUGUAUCAUGUAAUACACAAUAAAUUGAAGCUUUCUUUA